UCAGCAUCACAGAACAUCCAGAAACAACAGAGAGUCUUCACAGACAGCUCACUGUGUAGAGCUCAGACAUCAUCAUAAUCUUCUGAAUGUUGUUGAUUGCAGCAGACAGUACAACAAAUGCAGCUCAGCAGCCUUCAGACUGAAAUGAGAUGCUGCAGAGGAAAACGUCUUUUCUGAAAAUGCACUGGGCUUCACAUUCACGUCCUUGUCCACAGCGAACACGGAGCAGAGAAUUUCCACCCAGUUUUUCUUUGUCACAGAAUAACAAAGAUGUGUAUGGAAACCAAAAACUGCAAGUAAAAAGUAAAAGAACAUGUAAAUACAGCCAAUAUGUUAAAGCUCCCUUAAACUCUGGCAUCGCUGCAAUACAGAGAACCAUCAAUGAAAACAGAAUGAUUUGAAUUACAUGAAUUAAAGUCUUACCAGGUAACGAAAGUAACAGCACAAAAAUGCUAAAACUUGAAUGUCACUUCUAGUUAUAGAGCCUUUGUUAAUGGCUACAUGACAGGAUUAAAGGGUCAGCC
Molecule: long non-coding RNA, 524 nt
Organism: Oreochromis aureus
Lineage: Eukaryota; Metazoa; Chordata; Actinopteri; Cichliformes; Cichlidae
Exons: 3
Source: RefSeq, a predicted model, not a curated record